RNAcentral lists this ribosomal RNA (428 nucleotides) under uncultured prokaryote. RNAcentral describes it as "bacterial SSU rRNA". It matches the Rfam family "Bacterial small subunit ribosomal RNA", at positions 355 to 774 of the family's 1533-position model. The record is from RNAcentral.
UGGGGAAUUUUGCGCAAUGGGGGAAACCCUGACGCAGCAACGCCGCGUGAGUGAUGAAGGCCUUCGGGUCGUAAAGCUCUGUCAGAGGGGAAGAAAUGCAGGGGUGCUAAUAUCAUCUUUGCUUGACGGUACCCUCAAAGGAAGCACCGGCUAACUCCGUGCCAGCAGCCGCGGUAAUACGGAGGGUGCGAGCGUUGUUCGGAAUUAUUGGGCGUAAAGGGCGUGUAGGCGGUUUGGUAAGUCUGAGGUGAAGGCCCCGGGCUCAACCUGGGAAGUGCAUUGGAAACUGUCAGACUUGAAUACGGGAGAGUGUAGUGGAAUUCCUAGUGUAGGAGUGAAAUCCGUAGAUAUUAGGAGGAACACCGGUGGCGAAGGCGGCUACCUGGACCGAUAUUGACGCUGAGACACGAAAGCGUGGGGAGCAAACA